UGCCGCGUGAGUGAUGAAGGCCUUAGGGUCGUAAGCUCUUUCGCCUGUGAAGAUAAUGACUGUAGCAGGUAAAGAAACCCCGGCUAACUCCGUGCCAGCAGCCGCGGUAAUACGGAGGGGGUUAGCGUUGUUCGGAAUUACUGGGCGUAAAGCGCGCGUAGGCGGACUGGAAAGUUGGGGGUGAAAUCCCAGGGCUCAACCCUGGAACUGCCUCCAAAACUAUCAGUCUAGAGUUCGAGAGAGGUGAGUGGAAUUCCGAGUGUAGAGGUGAAAUUCGUAUAUAUUCGGAGGAACACCAGUGGCGAAGGCGGCUCACUGGCUCGAUACUGACGCUGAGGUGCGAAAGUGUGGGGAGCAAACAGGAUUAGAUACCCUGGUAGUCCACACCGUAAACGAUGAAUGCCAGUCGUCGGGUAGCAUGCUAUUCGGUGACACACCUAACGGAUUAAGCAUUCCGCCUGGGGAGUACGGUCGCAAGAUUAAAACUCAAAUGAAUUGACGGA
Molecule: ribosomal RNA, 503 nt
Filed under: uncultured Ruegeria sp.
Lineage: Bacteria; Pseudomonadati; Pseudomonadota; Alphaproteobacteria; Rhodobacterales; Roseobacteraceae
Description: bacterial SSU rRNA
Rfam family: Bacterial small subunit ribosomal RNA
Source: RNAcentral